AUUGAACGCUGGCGGCAGGCCUAACACAUGCAAGUCGAACGGUAACAGGAAGAAGCUUGCUUCUUUGCUGACGAGUGGCGGACGGGUGAGUAAUGUCUGGGAAACUGCCUGAUGGAGGGGGAUAACUACUGGAAACGGUAGCUAAUACCGCAUAACGCCGCAAGACCAAAAAGGGGGACCUUCGGGCCUCUUGCCAUCGGAUGUGCCCAGAUGGGAUUAGCUAGUAGGUGGGGUAACGGCUCACCUAGGCGACGAUCCCUAGCUGGUCUGAGAGGAUGACCAGCCACACUGGAACUGAGACACGGUCCAGACUCCUACGGGAGGCAGCAGUGGGGAAUAUUGCACAAUGGGCGCAAGCCUGAUGCAGCCAUGCCGCGUGUAUGAAGAAGGCCUUCGGGUUGUAAAGUACUUUCAGCGGGGAGGAAGGGAGUAAAGUUAAUACCUUUGCUCAUUGACGUUACCCGCAGAAGAAGCACCGGCUAACUCCGUG
RNAcentral lists this ribosomal RNA (490 nucleotides) under uncultured bacterium. Its description in RNAcentral is "partial 16S ribosomal RNA". It matches the Rfam family "Bacterial small subunit ribosomal RNA", at positions 30 to 507 of the family's 1533-position model. The record is from RNAcentral.